CCUACGGGAGGCAGCAGUGGGGAAUAUUGCACAAUGGGGGGAACCUUGAUGCAGCGACGCCGCGUGAGUGAAGAAGUCUUUCGGUAUGUAAAACUCUAUCAGCAGGGAAGAAAAUGACGGUACCUGAUUCAGAAGCCCCGGCUAACUACGUGCCAGCAGCCGCGGUAAUACGUAGGGGGCAAGCGUUAUCCGGAUUUACUGGGUGUAAAGUGAGCGUAGACGGCAGCACAAGUCUGGAGGGAAAGGCCGGGGCUUAACCCCGGAACUGCUUUGGAAACUGUGCAGCUAGAGUGCAGGAGAGGUAAGUGGAAUGCCUAGUGUAGCGGUGAAAUGCGUAGAUAUUAGGAGGAACACCAGUGGCGAAGGCGGCUUACUGGACUGUAACUGACGUUGAGGCUCGAAAGCGUGGGGAGCAAACAGGAUUAGAUACCCGGGUAGUC
Molecule: ribosomal RNA, 440 nt
Filed under: uncultured bacterium
Lineage: Bacteria
Description: partial 16S ribosomal RNA
Rfam family: Bacterial small subunit ribosomal RNA
Source: RNAcentral